UACGGGGGGUGCGAGCGUUGUCCGGAAUCACUGGGCGUAAAGGGCGCGUAGGUGGCGUGAUAAGGGUGUGGUGAAAGCCCGGGGCUCAACCCCGGGUCGGCCGUGCCGACUGUCAGGCUAGAGUGCUGUAGGGGCAGGCGGAAUUCCGGGUGUAGCGGUGGAAUGCGUAGAGAUCCGGAGGAAGACCGGUGGCGAAGGCGGCCUGCUGGGCAGUUACUGACACUGAGGCGCGACAGCGUGGGGAGCAAACAGG
RNAcentral lists this ribosomal RNA (253 nucleotides) under uncultured bacterium. RNAcentral describes it as "partial 16S ribosomal RNA". It matches the Rfam family "Bacterial small subunit ribosomal RNA", at positions 524 to 776 of the family's 1533-position model. The record is from RNAcentral.